Molecule: ribosomal RNA, 252 nt
Filed under: uncultured bacterium
Lineage: Bacteria
Description: partial 16S ribosomal RNA
Rfam family: Bacterial small subunit ribosomal RNA
Source: RNAcentral
UACAGAGGUCUCGAGCGUUAGGCGGAAUCACUGGGCUUAAAGCGUGUGUAGGCGGAUCGGUAAGUACCUUGUGAAAUCCCACAGCUUAACUGUGGAACUGCUUGGUAUACUGCCAGUCUUGAGCCAGCUAGGGGCUACCGGAACAAAUGGUGGAGCGGUGAAAUGCGUAGAUAUCAUUGGAACGCCAAUGGUGAAAACAGGUAGCUGGGGCUGUGCUGACGCUGAGACACGAAAGCCAGGGGAGCAAACAGG